RNAcentral lists this ribosomal RNA (487 nucleotides) under Starmerella bacillaris. RNAcentral's name for it is "eukaryotic LSU rRNA". It matches the Rfam family "Eukaryotic large subunit ribosomal RNA", at positions 80 to 670 of the family's 3401-position model. Lineage: Eukaryota; Fungi; Ascomycota; Dipodascomycetes; Dipodascales; Trichomonascaceae. The record is from RNAcentral.
CUAGUAACGGCGAGUGAACAGGCAAGAGCUCAGAUUUGAAAGGCACUUUUGUGCCGUUGUAUUCUGAAGUUAGGGUCCUGAGAAACGAUGCUUAAGUCUUCUGGAAAGGAGCGCCAUGGAGGGUGAUAGCCCCGUCUAGCAUUGACCUCAUAUAGGAUCUUAACAUGGAGUCGAGUUGUUUGGGAAUGCAGCUCAAAUGGGUGGUAUGCUCCAUCUAAAGCUAAAUAUCUGCGAGAGACCGAUAGUAAACAAGUACUGUGAGGGAAAGAUGAAAAGAACUUUGAAAAGAGAGUGAAAAAGUACGUGAAAUUGUUGAAAUGGAAGGGUAGGCCGCUAACCAUGUAGAGCCGUGUUUGGGGGGAAGAUAAAUGCUGUAGAAUGUAGCUCCUCGGAGUAUUAUAGAUGCAGUUCAUAUUCCCACCCGAGCGCGAGGAUCUCAGGUUCUACUAAAUGGUGGUCUACCACCCGUCUUGAAACACGGACCACU